RNAcentral lists this transfer RNA (89 nucleotides) under Microseira wollei NIES-4236. RNAcentral's name for it is "tRNA-Ser". It matches the Rfam family "tRNA". Rfam says of the family: Transfer RNA (tRNA) molecules are approximately 80 nucleotides in length. Their secondary structure includes four short double-helical elements and three loops (D, anti-codon, and T loops). The record is from RNAcentral. Lineage: Bacteria; Bacillati; Cyanobacteriota; Cyanophyceae; Aerosakkonematales; Aerosakkonemataceae.
CGGAGAGGUGGCAGAGUGGUCGAUUGCGCUCGACUUGAAAUCGAGUGUGGCAGAGAUGUCACCGUGGGUUCAAAUCCCACCCUCUCCGU